GAUGAACGCUGGCGGCGUGCCUAAUACAUGCAAGUCGAGCGAAGCGGGGACGGGUGAGUAACACGUGGAUAACCUCCUAUAAGACUGGGAUAACUUCGGGAAACCGUAGCUAAACCGGAUACCUAUAGAUGGAUCCGCGGGGCAUUAGCUAGUUGGUAAGGUAACGGCUUACCAAGGACACGAUGCAUAGCCGACCUGAGAGGGUGAUCGGCAACACGGAAACUGGGACACUGUCCAGACGCCUACGGGAGUCAGCAGUAGGGAAUUUUCCACAAUGGGCGAAAGCCUGACGGAGCAACGCCGCGUGAGGGAUGAAGGUCUUCGGAUCGUAAAACGCUGUUAGUAGGGAAGCGGUACCUAAUCAGAAAGCCACGGCUAACUACGUGCCAGCCGCCGCGGUAAUUC
RNAcentral lists this ribosomal RNA (405 nucleotides) under uncultured bacterium. RNAcentral's name for it is "partial 16S ribosomal RNA". It matches the Rfam family "Bacterial small subunit ribosomal RNA", at positions 28 to 526 of the family's 1533-position model. The record is from RNAcentral.